AUGUUUUGCCAGGUUCUAAAGGAUGCUAGGUUUCCUGAGGGCUAUGCAUCCAACUUGCACAACAAAGUGGAUAUAGUGAGAACGAGAUUAAAUGGACUAAAGAGCCAUGACUGUCAUAUUAUAAUGCGUGAUCUGUUGCCCUUAGCCAUUAGGAGAACUUUGCCUAAAGAUGUUUGUAUUCCAUUGAUGCGUUUGUGCAACUACUUCAAGCAAUUAUACUCUAAGGUUAUCACUGUGAGUGAGAUACAAAAGUUGGAGGAUGAGAUUACUGAAAUCAUGUGCCAAUUGGAGAAAGUAUUUCCUCAUGCCUUUUUGACAUCAUGGAACACUUGA
RNAcentral lists this ribosomal RNA (333 nucleotides) under Triticum aestivum (bread wheat). Its description in RNAcentral is "partial small subunit ribosomal RNA". The record is from RNAcentral. Lineage: Eukaryota; Viridiplantae; Streptophyta; Magnoliopsida; Poales; Poaceae.